RNAcentral lists this ribosomal RNA (253 nucleotides) under uncultured bacterium. RNAcentral's name for it is "partial 16S ribosomal RNA". It matches the Rfam family "Bacterial small subunit ribosomal RNA", at positions 524 to 776 of the family's 1533-position model. The record is from RNAcentral.
GACGGAGUAGGCAAGCGUUAUCCGGAAUUAUUGGGCGUAAAGGGUACGCAGGCGGCUGGUCAAGUCUGGGGUCAAAGGCCUCAGCUCAACUGUGGGAAGGCCCUGGAAACUGACCGGCUAGAGUGAGGUAGGGGUUGCGGGAAUUCCCGGUGUAGCGGUGAAAUGCGUAGAGAUCGGGAAGAACACCUGAGGCGGAAGCGCGCAACUGGGCCUCAACUGACGCUGAGGUACGAAAGCUAGGGGAGCGAAUGGG